Long non-coding RNA from Folsomia candida, 2147 nucleotides. RefSeq lists it as uncharacterized. The record is from RefSeq and is a predicted model, not a curated record. NCBI's taxonomy places the organism in Eukaryota, Metazoa, Arthropoda, Collembola, Entomobryomorpha, Isotomidae. The transcript has 3 exons.
AAUUUCUGCCAUACAUUUAGCAACCAGUUGCAUAAACUAUUCAGCGAUCGAGCAUAACUCACAAUUCGGUAGAUAAUUUCAAAUCCAUUCUUCACAAAAAGCGUACAACUCAACCAUCAUGGAUAUUUCAUCAAUAACUGAUUUUGAGACCAACUUAAACACCUGCGCAGACAUGUUAAGGUUAAAAAAUCGCUUGAUCAAAUUGGAUUCAAUUAUCAUGCCACAAUGGUCGGAAUUAAAAACUUUCAAAGCCUUAUUAACAAAUUAAUUGAAUUAGAAGUACACAAACGACCUACAAAAAUAUCCGAUUUCGUUCAUACCUACGUUCUAAUCCCCUUCUUAUCAAAAUUAACAACUGCACUGAACAAAAAAGAAGAUAAUAAAUGCGUCAAUAUAACUGACAAUUCUUUGUUGAGAGACACAAUCUUGCCAGUGUGCGAGUUCCUUGCCGAAAAUCAAAAUGAGGACACCGUCCAAGAAUUGGUCUCGGUUUUGACAGCUUUGCACAAUUUUGGACGCAACUUCUCCUGGCAGCAAUUAGAAAAUAUCACGAUCCGAAUUAUAGUGUGGCAGAAGGUCAAAUCUUGCUCGCAUUUCCCCCAGGAAUUUAAAAUGUGCAAGUGUAAUGAUGAAAAGAAGGAUAACUGCAAACUAAAGUUUUCCGACAUCAAGUUAAAACACUGCACGACAAGUGACACCUUACGAAACAUGCUAAAGGUUCAAGACUGGAGAAUCGACUUUAUUGGGAAACGAGCGACCCCAACAGAAAAAAAGGCCGACAUCACUUCAUUAGGCCUAAUCUAUUUCGGCGUUGAUACAACCUCAGAAACUGCAAAUGUGGAGAAUAAAUUUGUAAAAAAACCGUUACGGAGCAGUCACAAUUUCCUUCAUGUUUAAAGAUGUCGCUCAGGAAAGUAAAGUAGUUGUGAAUCUUGGAACUAAAAAAUAUUGGUAUGAAUAUUCUCAGCAAAAAUUGAUACCUAUAUGCCACAAUUAUACCUAUCCCGAUUGGUGGCUCCUUGACGAGAAAGAAAAAACAACAUUUGUUCUUCUCAAGCUUGAGAGACAAGAAGAGACACAGUGGGACAUAUCAUAUUAUAAAACUUGUUGUGCCUGGACACAUCCAGAAAUCGUAAUCCCUGGAAAUUUAAAGGUUGAACGGAAGAAGGUGAAAAUAUUGUUUGAAAAUGACCAUGACUGCAUCGACACAGGCGAUGGUCGUCGAGAGAAGUGUAUAGAAUGCAAAAUUAGAGAGAAUGGAGGCCGGUGCAGGGGAAAAGUUAAGGAUAAGGAUUGGAGAGAUUUUACCUUUUCUGACAACAGCACUGCAGAUUUAUCCAUACAAAUGCUUGCUCAUGGCUGGCCAAUUGCUGAAAGAGAACUGUUAAAAAAAUGUCAAGAUAGCGACAAAAUGUUUGCGGCGUCGCAGUUCGAGAAAAUUGAAGCCUACUGGAUGAAGGAGUGCAGUGAUUUUGAAAUAUUAGAGUGGAAAGUUGGCCAUGUUGGGGAAGGAGAGGUCGGGUGCAGCUCGGUCAAAAAAAGGAGGGGGGACUAACCUUAAUAGAAGACUUACCGUUAAAUUGUUGGAAUUCAGUCGGCUUAGCCGAUAGGAGCAGCGUUUAAAUAUUUUACAACUUGUUCAGCUCCUAGACUUUUCUUGGAUCAUUUCAAUAUUACAUUUCCUCUCUUGCGACGUACUGGAGUACUGUAUUUACAGUGAUAUCCCUCGGUCUAGAAUCCAUUAAUAAGAUUUUUAUGUAUUAAUAUUUGUUGCUAACAUAAUUUAUAAAUAUGUAAAUAAAAAUGUGCAAUUAGUGACUUACCGUAACCUUUAUAACCUAUAGGCUAUAAAUAGUGUAGUUACGGUAAUGCAUGUAUAUGGAUAACACAUUAUUAAAUAUGCGCUGCACAAAAAAUUCAUAAUGUUAUGAAAAUCGUCAAUUUUUGAAACUUCGAGUUGACCAUGAUUCGUAUAAUUCCGGUGUGCCUACUUCGCUACGAAAUCAACUUUAAGGGUAGCCAAUUAGUUAUCUUUAAUAAUUUUAAAACAUUACAUUAAAAAAUUUUAGAUACAAUCAGAUGGGGACGAUUUUAUGAUAUUAAAUCAAAUAAAUAAAUAAAAUUAAUUAAAUAUAGCAAUCUGAUCC